RNAcentral lists this ribosomal RNA (247 nucleotides) under uncultured bacterium. RNAcentral describes it as "partial 16S ribosomal RNA". It matches the Rfam family "Bacterial small subunit ribosomal RNA", at positions 523 to 769 of the family's 1533-position model. The record is from RNAcentral.
AUACGUAGGGUGCAAGCGUUAUCCGGAUUUACUGGGUGUAAAGGGCGAGUAGACGGCGAUGCAAGUCAGAUGUGAAAUGCUAGGGCUUAACCUUAGAACUGCAUCUGAAACUGUAUUGCUAGAGUGCAGGAGAGGUAAACGGAAUUCCUAGUGUAGCGGUGAAAUGCGUAGAUAUUAGGAGGAACAUCAGUGGCGAAGGCGGUUUACUGGACUGUAACUGACACUGAGGCACGAAAGCGUGGGGAGC